AUUGAACGCUGGCGGCAUGCUUUACACAUGCAAGUCGAACGGCAGCGCGGGCUUCGGCCUGGCGGCGAGUGGCGAACGGGUGAGUAAUGCAUCGGAACGUGCCCAGUAGUGGGGGAUAGCCCGGCGAAAGCCGGAUUAAUACCGCAUACGACCUGAGGGUGAAAGCGGGGGACCGAAAGGCCUCGCGCUAUUGGAGCGGCCGAUGUCGGAUUAGCUAGUUGGUGGGGUAAAGGCUUACCAAGGCGACGAUCCGUAGCUGGUCUGAGAGGACGACCAGCCACACUGGGACUGAGACACGGCCCAGACUCCUACGGGAGGCAGCAGUGGGGAAUUUUGGACAAUGGGGGCAACCCUGAUCCAGCCAUGCCGCGUGCGGGAAGAAGGCCUUCGGGUUGUAAACCGCUUUUGUUCGGGAAGAAAUCCUCUGGGCUAAUACCCCGGGGGGAAUGACGGUACCGGAAGAAUAAGCACCGGCUAACUACGUG
This 485-nucleotide ribosomal RNA is filed under the name uncultured bacterium. RNAcentral's name for it is "partial 16S ribosomal RNA". It matches the Rfam family "Bacterial small subunit ribosomal RNA", at positions 29 to 507 of the family's 1533-position model. The record is from RNAcentral.